This 627-nucleotide ribosomal RNA is filed under the name Triticum aestivum (bread wheat). Its description in RNAcentral is "partial small subunit ribosomal RNA". The record is from RNAcentral. Lineage: Eukaryota; Viridiplantae; Streptophyta; Magnoliopsida; Poales; Poaceae.
AUGAAGAAGAAGAAGAAGAACACACCAAGGAUAUUAACGGCAUUGUUUCACCACAGCAAACUCGUAUAUGAUCAGAAUGUAUGGAAAAAAAUCCCGAAAAGAAUCAACUUCAUGGCUGCCCGGCAGCCGGUGGAGGCGGCGACGAGUAGUCGUACGCCGGCAUCUUCCACGUCGCCGGUGGUGGAGGCGAGAGGUGCCGGUCCUCCGGUGACACCUCGUAGUUGGGCGGCGCUGGUAGGUCGUAGUGGGGCGGUGUUGUCGGCUCUUCGUACUCUGGCGGUGGCGGUGAUAGGUACCGGUCCUCUGGUGACACCUCGUAGUAGGGCGGAGGUGGAGACUCUUGGUAAGCUGCGGGUGGCGGUGAGUGGUACCGGUCCUCCGGUGACACCUCGUAGUAGGGAGCUGGCACCUCGUAGUGGGGAGGCGUUGUCGGCUCUUGGUACGCUGGAGGUGGCGGCGAAAGGUACCGUUCCUCAGGUGAGACCUCGUAGUACGGAGGUGGGGGUGAUGGAGACGGGGGUGGAGGAGACGGGGUUGGUGGAGGAGGCGACGGCGGCGGUGGUGAAGUUCUGGAGAUGCGGCAGGUGGCAGAUCCCCUCCGGCACGUCGCCGGUGAGGCGGUUGUGA